RNAcentral lists this long non-coding RNA (2180 nucleotides) under Salmo salar (Atlantic salmon). RNAcentral describes it as "lncRNA (ENSSSAG00000103139.1)". Lineage: Eukaryota; Metazoa; Chordata; Actinopteri; Salmoniformes; Salmonidae. The record is from RNAcentral.
CCUGCGCAUAAAUCUGAGAAACGUGAGUUUUGUCUUCAUUGUUUAUCUAGACAUAGGAUAGGUUGUGUGAAAAUAUUACUGAUGUUUAACGUUAAAAAUGGACCAAAAGAUUAAUGCUAAACAACAUUUGACAUGUUUGAACGAACAUAAAUAGAUUAUUUACUAGGUUUUUUUAGCUUUUCGGGCGUGAUUUUACAGUCCCCCCACCACGUUUUGUGGGAGCAUAAAGAACGCUAAGUACUUGGUGUUAUUUGGACAUAAAUUAUGAACUUUGUCAAAAGAAACCACAUUUGUUCCGGACCUGGGAUGGCUUCCGGACCUGGGAUGCCUGCCUUCUGAUGGAGAUAAUCAAAGUUUGCUAGCUGAUCCAGUCACACGGAGCCAGUCACACUACCUAGUGCUGCACACAAAAUGCUGAAUGCUUCCACCAAUCAGUUGAGGGAUGAGCUUCGGGUAGGAGUGACGUCAUCUGACAUAAGUCGAUGGAUAGGCAACACCGACAGGAUCACCAGGGGACUGGCUGCCACUGUGACUCUGUGACAACCUUAUCCAGAUGAGAGGACCUGAGCCCUAGGACCAUGCCUCAGGACUACCUGGCAUGAUGACUCAUUGCUCUUCCCAGUCCACCUGGCUGCUCCAGUUUCAACUGUUCUGCCUGCGGCUAUGGAACCCUGACCUGUUCACCGGACGUACUUGUUGCACCCUCGACAACUACUAUGAUUAUUAUUAUUUGACCAUGCUGGUUAUUUAUGAACAUUUUAACAUCUUGACCAUGUUCUGUUAUAAUAUCCACCCGGCACAGCCAGAAGAGGACUGGCCACCCCUCAUAGCCUGGUUCCUCUCUAGGUUUCUUCCUAGGUUUUUGGCCUUUCUAGGGAGUUUUUCCUAGCCACCGUGCUUCUUUCACAUGCAUUGCUUGCUGUUUGGGGUUUUAGGCUGGGUUUCUGUACAGCACUUUGAGAUAUCAGCUGAUGUACGAAGGGCUAUAUAAAUACAUUUGAUUUGAUUUAGUGAAUGCGUACAUUCCUUGCAUUUUUUUUUUUGUACUGGCCCCCCGUGGGAAUUGAACCCACAACCCUGGCGUUGCACACACCAUGCUGGCAUUGCAAACAACAUUCUCUACCAACUGAGCUACAGGGAAGACCAUGUCACUGAUGGAGUGCUGAGGUUUAGAGGGUCUACACUAGAAGUUCAUGGUUAUAGGAGGAAGGUAUAUAGUGUGUGCAAUUAAGCUUGGAAUGUGCUGAGUGCAGGGAAGCAAUUGCAUGUGGCAGGCAUUGAUAAGAGGAGAGAGCCAUGGAUUAGUGAUUGAGGGGGGUUGAGGUCAGGUCAGGUCACCUUAAGGGAGAAAUAAAAGUUUAUGGCCCGUAUCACUGGUGUCCUGCCUAGCAGUAAACAACGAUGUUUGCACAGAUGGGUAGGAGGAGACUCAGUCAAUGAGGAAUGGUUAAAUAUCAGUGCUUGUGUGAAAAUGUUUUUGUCUAAUACAGCUGUAUUGAUCCUCUUGUUAAGCUUUCAUAAUGUCUGUUGAGUUUUUACUCUGAGAAUUAGAACCUAACAACGCGAAUGAAUAAUCUAUCUUCGAUGUCAAGCUUUCACUUUCUCAGAAAAAACAGGAUUCAUGUGAAAACAACACGACAGAACACACACCUUCCUUACACACCGCCCAGAAGUGGGAAACUAACCGAAUACAGAUUAAAGCACAAGUUGCUCUUUAACAUAAACUACAGAGGGGACCUGAUGACACAAACACGCUGGGUUUGGGAAUGACUUGAGCACGUGUGCAUCAGUCAUGGCAUUUUUAUACUGCCAUCACAUUGGGUGUACUGUAGUUAGUAGGACAGCAUCACUGAGAGAUAGUCAGAUUGAUUUUUCAAAAGGCUGCAGUGGUCUUUGAUAUUGAGUAUGGCAUGGAACCGAGGCAGCAGCAGCGAUACCGUUAACACUACCUUUCCGAAUAACAGGGAAAAAUAACACCAUAUCCUUGUUUACUGAGAAGACUGGAGAAGUAUCAAGGGUGUCGUGUGUAUACAGCGUUCACCUUCAAAGAUCAGUCUGGACGUUGCGUGCUUUCAGAGUUCAGAAAGGAAACACCACGUGCACAAUUAACCAUUUAUUAGAAAAGAUUACAUUAGUCUUGGAGUUAGACUCUGCUCCUUCAGGGUAGCUUACUGACAGAG